Columba livia (rock pigeon) is the source of this 1023-nucleotide long non-coding RNA. RefSeq lists it as uncharacterized. The transcript is spliced from 5 exons. The record is from RefSeq and is a predicted model, not a curated record. Lineage: Eukaryota; Metazoa; Chordata; Aves; Columbiformes; Columbidae.
CCCAGGGACGCUUCUGGAACAGCUCAUAAUGCCCACAGCCGGGCCCGACCGGGCUGUGAAAUGGGAUCUCUUCCCAGCAUCGGGUCUGUGAGCAGAGCCCUCCCCUGAGACCAGGGACCCUCUGAGGAGACUUGCCGGGACUGAGAGCCCUUGUCUGCACCUUGGGUUUUCAGAUGUACUCAAAGCUACUGAAAUUUUCUGAGAUACCUGUGACAGGAGAAGGCACUCCCAGGGAACUGAAAAGUGGUAUGUCUGCUUCAUGUGACAGCAGCAGCCCUGCGUUUGGCAGCAAAAAAGCAGUGCAGAUGGCAGCAGGAGUAAAGGUACCUGUAGCUGAAUGAUGUGCUAUUUGACUGCCACUUCAGGGAGCACAGACAAAGGAGAAGUUGAAUGUCUGCAUAUAGGAACUGGAUCUGGGAGGUGGAAUUGUUUCUGUAACUUGAAUCACAGCACAAAGAAAAGCACAUAAGCUUUUGGGAAGAGAAGCUCUGAAACAGCGGUAGAGUGUCAUAGCGGCAUUGAGCACAGGACAUCAUGCUCCACUUCACAUGCAUGUGGCUGCUCUACAGGAGGAUGUUUGCAGCCCCAUCAUUGAAGAUACAUUACUGUGUGUGAUCCCCUGUGAAGUGUGUAACAAUUUUGUAAAUUAAAAAAAAAAAGGCAGCUGUUUAUUUUUCAGUGCUUGAACUUUCUGACAAUACUUUCUUUUUCCUUCCAAGCAAAGCUGACAUUUUUCCAUCUCUCUGCUGUGCUCAGCUAGAGUUGCUUAACCAUUCAUGAGUUACGGGUGGGAAUAUUUGUACUUUAAAAAAUGCAGAGCCCCCCUGCCUCUGCACGUUUACAGCUUUCCAAGAUAGUUUUGUUGACAUAUGAUAUAUACCAUUUGCUCUGUUCAUGGACCUUAACAGCAAGUGUGUUUUUUUGUUGUGUUUUUGUUUUUGUUUUUGUUUUUUUUUUUAACAAAACAUGCCUGUAAAUGUACAAGUAGUGCAUAUUUGAAAAUAGAUCCCUUUCUUAGGAAGA